GGAAGUUCCCAGGCUAGGGGUCAUAUUGGAGCUGCAGGUGCCGGCUUAUGCCACAGCCAUAGCAAUGACAGAUCCAAGCCACAUCUGCAGCCUAUACCACAGCUUGCAACAAUGCCGGAUCCUUAACCCACUGAGCAAGGCCAGGGAUUGAACCCACAUCCUCACGGAUACUAGUCGGGCUCUUGAUCCACUGAACCACAAGGGGAACUCCUCUCCAGAAUUCUUAGGUUGAAGUCCUAACCUCCUUCGGACCCCCAAGCGACUCAAAAUGUGACUAUAUUUGGAAAUACAAUCUUUAACGAGAUAAUUGAAAUGGGGUCAUGAGGGUGGGCCCUAAUUCAAUAUGACUGUGUAAGAGGUGGAAUUUUUAAGAGGAGGAAGUCAGGACAUAGACAUGUAGAGAAGGAGAACCACGUGAAGCCACAGGGAGAAAAAGGCCACCUAUGUGCCAAGGGAAGAGGCCUCAGAAGAACCAACCCUACGGUGCCUUGAUCUCAAACUUCCAACCUCCAGAAGUGUGAGAAAAUGAGUUUCUGUUGUUUGGCAAUCUGAAGCAUUUAGUUAAGAUGGCCCUAGUAAGCUAGUACAUGUAAAACAGAACGAAAUCUAGGCCUGGUGAAUAGGGGUCUGACUUGCUUUGCCAUGAAGAAGAGAUCUAGUGUCUCAUUCAGCCCCAGAUGUGAGUCAGUUCCCUGACCCAAACCUCCUUGAACAGAGAGCCAGACAUCCCCUGAGUAAGGUCUCCUCAAAGAUACUGCAAGUAUCUCCUCUACAUUUCCUGCUUGGGAUCUGCAACUGUUUACUAGGUACCUGCACAGGGAGAGGGAACUUCCCAGAACUUCUGAGGAUGACUGGACACUGGUUCUGAAACGGUGCUAAUUCUUGGGGUUUCUGGUUGCCACUGUGACCCACCAGAGGGGAAUAAAUGGAAACCUGGCUUCAGAAGUUCCCACUGUGUCUCGGCGGUAAUGAACCUGUCUACAAUCCAUCCCUGGCCUUGCUCAGUGGGUUAAGAAUCCAGCGUUGCCACGUGCUGUGGUGUAGGUUGCAGAUGUGGCUUGGAUAUGGUGUUGCUGUGGCUGUGGCGUAGGCCUGUAGCUGCAGCUCCAAUUUGACCCCAAGCCUGAGAAUUUCCAUAUGCCAUGGGUGCGGCCCUAAAAAGCAAGCAAGCAAACCAACCAACCAACAAAAGAAACCUGGCUUCGAUUCAUCUCACAAGGGGACCAACAGCUCUGUAAAAGUCUAAAGUUGUUGUCUCAGCUGCUGAGUACAUGACUGGAAUAGAUGUAUGCUGUGACUGACAGAAUCCACACUUGGACUCCACGGCACAUGGGGUUAGUGCUGUGAUGGCUGUGGAGGGCUAGAAGGCAGUCUCUGGGGUUUCCCUUUCCUACCAAAGCCACAAACCAAGGGAGUUCCCGUCAUGGCUCAGUGGUUGAUGAAUCCAACUAGGAACCAUCAGGUUGCGGGUUCGAUCCCUGGCCUUACUCAGUGGGUUAAGGAUCCGGCGUUGCCGUGAGCUGUAGUGUAGGUCACAGACGCGGCUCAGAUCCUGUGUUUCUGUGGUUCUGGCAUGGGCUGGCAGCUACAGCUCCAAUUAGACCCCUAGCCUGGGAACCUCCAUAUGCCGUGGGAGCAGCCCAAGAAAUGGCAAAAAGACAAAAAAAAAAAAAGACAAAAAAAAAAAAAACCCACAAACCAAAAGCAAUGAAGUUAGAAUGGCAGCAUCUUCCUAAACUGUCUUCCUUGCUGCAUCACAUAUAUGGUUAUACAUUAUUAUUAUUAUUUUUUUGCAAGUAAGCAAAGUCUGGGCAAACAGCUCCCAGGACAGCUGGGAGGGGGAAGAAGAGUCCCCCCCCUCUAUUGUCUUAUAGGGGUUUUUAUCCCUUAAAGAUGGGGCUUACCAAUGUGGGGUCCAGAAAGAUGUGGUUUUCUCCCAUUGGCCUUGCCCAGUAACCUGCAUCAGUGGUUUUACAUUAAUUAAGUUUUUUGGCUUUUUAUUCAAGGUAUGUUGGCAAUAGCUAGCUUCAUCAAUGAAUCAAUAAGUUAACCAACAUUGGCUGCAAAUGAACUAAAGGGAGGAAUAAACAUUACUCAGAAACCUUGGGUUUGGACUUUGGGUUCUUAGCGGAGAUGCUGGGACAUUUCCUCUGUAGCCAGGGGGGGAGUGGGGUGGGGUGGGGGGGUGGGGGGGGAAGAAUCUGUGUUGUCAGGCAAAAAGCUUGUCGUUAUUGGUUGAAAGUUUAUAGAAGAAGGAAGCCAAGAGGAAAACUUGAGCGGCUAUAACCUGUAUCCACCCACUCAAAUCUUGUGACACCCCCGCCUCCUUGUGUUUUGUUAACUUCCCCUAUUUUGUAAGUUCCCACUUCCUCAAGGUAAAUGCCAAACAUUUUGCACUCUCUGGAUCACCUACAACUAGGAUACCGCCAUGAGAUCUGGUUUGCCUUGCAGCAGCCUCAGAGGAAACAGCAUGGCCCUGUGGCCACGGGCCAGGCCAUCCAUCUCCUGCAGGCUCUGUCCUGAGAAUCAGAGAAAGUGGCUGAAAGGGCUCAGGUACCAAGGCUCGCCCCAUUCUGUAGCUGAGGCUGUGCUGUCUCUGUAGCUUCAGCAUUGGGCUGUCCGGCCUUCUCCUAGGUAGAUUCUAAGAGCUAUGUAAUAUCUUUAAUCAACUUUGCUGCUGAAGAGGCAGACUGAUUCUGGCUAGUCUCAAGCAGAAAUGAAAUUAAAUAAAGGAUAUUAGGCAACGGAUGUUCCUGACCACAAAAGGUUUUAAGCUGGAGACGAUCACACUUUUGUUUGCAAAAGGGCC
RNAcentral lists this long non-coding RNA (2809 nucleotides) under Sus scrofa (pig). RNAcentral's name for it is "lncRNA (ENSSSCG00025070400.1)". The record is from RNAcentral. Lineage: Eukaryota; Metazoa; Chordata; Mammalia; Artiodactyla; Suidae.